CACGUAGGGGGCAAGCGUUGUCCGGAAUCAUUGGGCGUAAAGAGCUCGUAGGCGGCUCAGUAAGUCGGGUGUGAAACCUCCAGGCUCAACCUGGAGACGCCACCCGUUACUGCUGUGGCUAGAGUCCAGUAGGGGAGUGUGGAACUCCCGGUGUAGCGGUGAAAUGCGCAGAUAUCGGGAGGGACACCAGCGGCGAAGGCGGCACUCUGGGCUGGUACUGACGCUGAGGAGCGAAAGCGUGGGUAGCAAACAGG
This 254-nucleotide ribosomal RNA is filed under the name uncultured bacterium. Its description in RNAcentral is "partial 16S ribosomal RNA". It matches the Rfam family "Bacterial small subunit ribosomal RNA", at positions 524 to 776 of the family's 1533-position model. The record is from RNAcentral.